CCAUAAUUCACAGGCUGCAUGGACUCCCCCGAUGCCUGACCCCGAAUCUAAUAGGGCUACAUGUUCGUUUACUUAAAACAGGAUAUAAAACAAUGUGCAGUUUCAUCUUCCUUAUUUAUCUCUCCCAGAUCCAGUGAGAAGCAAAUUUGCACAUAAUGACAGAUCGCAGGCAUCUAGCCCCAAAUGGAGUGUCUGGUUGUGAUCCAUCAUCAUGACAUUUCAGCUUUAGCAAACAUGGCUGCUCGCAGGGGGACACAAUCCAUCACUUUUCUCUAUUUCCCAGUCCAAAUGGCAGUUCCAAGGAUAUUAAUGAAGACCCAAGAGUCAAACACAAGGACCGCGUUAAAGAUAUUCAUAAAAAAAUCCAGGAAGGGGGUCUGUCUACUUUCACUGGAGGACUUUAAGAGGGACACUGUGUCCCCAGGGAGGAACUAG
This is a long non-coding RNA of Vulpes vulpes (red fox), 435 nucleotides long. The record is from Ensembl. NCBI's taxonomy places the organism in Eukaryota, Metazoa, Chordata, Mammalia, Carnivora, Canidae.